RNAcentral lists this ribosomal RNA (202 nucleotides) under uncultured bacterium. RNAcentral's name for it is "partial 16S ribosomal RNA". It matches the Rfam family "Bacterial small subunit ribosomal RNA", at positions 1299 to 1500 of the family's 1533-position model. The record is from RNAcentral.
UGCAGUCUGCAACUCGACUGCAUGAAGCUGGAAUCGCUAGUAAUCGCGAAUCAGAAUGUCGCGGUGAAUACGUUCCCGGGCCUUGUACACACCGCCCGUCACACCAUGGGAGUUGGAAGCACCCGAAGUCGGUGACCUGACCGAAAGGGAGGAGCCGCCGAAGGUGAAGCCAGCGACUGGGGUNAAGUCGUAACAAGGUAUC